UACAGAGGUCUCAAGCGUUGUUCGGAUUCAUUGGGCGUAAAGGGUGCGUAGGUGGCGCCGUAAGUCGGGUGUGAAAUUUCGGAGCUUAACUCCGAAACUGCAUUCGAUACUGCGGUGCUUGAGGACUGGAGAGGAGACUGGAAUUCAUGGUGUAGCAGUGAAAUGCGUAGAUAUCGGGAGGAACACCUGUGGCGAAAGCGGCUCACUGGACCACAACUGACGCUGAUGCGCGAAAGCUAGGGGAGCAAACAGG
Molecule: ribosomal RNA, 253 nt
Filed under: uncultured bacterium
Lineage: Bacteria
Description: partial 16S ribosomal RNA
Rfam family: Bacterial small subunit ribosomal RNA
Source: RNAcentral